RNAcentral lists this ribosomal RNA (500 nucleotides) under uncultured bacterium. RNAcentral describes it as "partial 16S ribosomal RNA". It matches the Rfam family "Bacterial small subunit ribosomal RNA", at positions 30 to 523 of the family's 1533-position model. The record is from RNAcentral.
AUUGAACGCUGGCGGAAUGCUUUACACAUGCAAGUCGAACGAUGAACCUUAGCUUGCUAAGGGGAUUAGUGGCGAACGGGUGAGUAAUAUAUCGGAACGUACCUUGUAAUGGGGGAUAACUAGUCGAAAGAUUAGCUAAUACCGCAUACGCCCUGAGGGGGAAAGUAGGGGAUCUUCGGACCUUACGUUAUAAGAGCGGCCGAUAUCUGAUUAGCUAGUUGGUGGGGUAAUGGCCCACCAAGGCGACGAUCAGUAGCUGGUCUGAGAGGACGACCGGCCACACUGGAACUGAGACACGGUCCAGACUCCUACGGGAGGCAGCAGUGGGGAAUUUUGGACAAUGGGCGCAAGCCUGAUCCAGCCAUUCCGCGUGAGUGAAGAAGGCCUUCGGGUUGUAAAGCUCUUUCGCAAGGGAAGAAAACUUACAUUCUAAUAAAGUGUGAGGCUGACGGUACCUUGAUAAGGAGCACCGGCUAACUACGUGCCAGCCGCCGCGGUAA